AACCUGGUUGAUCCUGCCAGUAGUCAUAUGCUUGUCUCAAAGAUUAAGCCAUGCAUGUCUAAGUAUAAAUUCUUGUACGAUGAAACUGCAGACGGCUCAUUACAACAGUGAUAAACUAAUAGACUUUCGGGUUUUUAACCUUUUGGAUAACCGCAGUAAAUCGGGGCUAAUACAUAGAAGCGAUGGGUGACUGGCAACGGAAGCUCAGCGAUUAUUAGCAUUACUACCAAUACCUUCGGGUCUUGUGGUGAAACCGAAUAAUAUUGCAGAUCGAGGAUUUAUCUUCGACAAGUCUACUGUGUCACUGCCCUAUCAACUUUCGAUGGUACGGUAUUGGCCUACCAUGGUUGUAACGGGUAACGGGGAAUUAGGGUUCGAUUCCGGAGAGGGAGCCUGAGAAAUGGCUACCACUUCUACGGAAGGCAGCAGGCGCGCAAAUUACUCAAUCCCAAUACGGGGAAGUAGUGACAAUAAAUAUCAAUACCUAUCCUUAACGGAGGGCAAUUGAAAUGAACACAAAUUAAAACUCUUAAUUAACACAAUUGGAGGGCAAGUCUGGUGCCAGCAGCCGCGGUAAUUCCAGCUCCAAUAGCAUAUACUAAAGUUGUUGCAGUUAAAAAGCUCGUAGUUGAAGUUAAAGGUUUACUGGGCUAAAGUUAUUUGCCGCUCUGGUGGUUAAAUCAACUCCAGUAUCUCUUUUUUUAAUAGUUCAGCUUCUAUUAUCUUUGAUAGUAGUUGUUUGGACAUUUCACUGUGAGAAAAUUGUGGUGUUUAAAGCAGGCGUUUCGCCUGAUCUUUUGCAGCAUGGUAUGAUGAAACAUGACAUUUUACGCUAUUGGUUUGCGUCUAAAGUGUAAUGAUUAAUAGGGAUGGAUGGGGGUGUUCAUAUUGGUGGGCGAGAGGUGAAAUUCGUUGACCCUAUCAAGAUGAACUUCUGCGAAAGCAUUCACCAAAUACUUCCCCAUUAAUCAAGAACGAAAGUUUGGGGAUCGAAGACGAUCAGAUACCGUCGUAGUCCAAACUUCCGGGGGGAGUAUGGUCGCAAGUCUGAAACUUAAAGGAAUUGACGGAAGGGCACACAAUGGAGUGGAGCCUGCGGCUUAAUUUGACUCAACUCGGGAAAACUUACCAAGCUAAGAUAUAGUAAGGAUUGACAGACUAAAAGAUCUUUCAUGAUUCUAUAAGUGGUGGUGCAUGGUCGUUCUUAGUUGGUGGAGCGAUUUGUCUGGUCAAUUCCGAUAACGGACGAGACCUCGACCUGCUAACUAGUAGUAUUUAUUAGUCAAUAUGGGCGAUAGCUUCUCUGGGGUUUGGAAUGGUUUCGGCCAUCUCCUGCUUCAAGGAGUGUGUAGUCUGACUUGAUAGGUACGAAUUAAAAAACUUCUUAGAGGGACUACCUGCCUCAAGCAGGCGGAAGUCCGAGGCAAUAACAGGUCUGUGAUGCCCUUAGAUACCUUGGGCCGCACGCGCGCUACAAUGUAGAAAACAAAAAGGUUCCUGGUCCGGAAGGAUUGGGUAAUCAUUUGAAUUUUCUACGUAACUGGGAUUGAUCUUUGUAAUUAUUGAUCAUCAACGAGGAAUUCCUUGUAAGCGUAGGUCAUUACCCUAUGCUGAAUAUGUCCCUGCCCUUUGUACACACCGCCCGUCGCUCCUACCGAUCGAAUGAUACGGUAAAGUUAACGGAUCGUUUUAUCUUUGGCAACAUUGAUAUAAACUAAAAGUUAUUUAAAUCUCAUUGUUUAGAGGAAGGAGAAGUCGUAACAAGGUAUCCGUAGGUGAACCUGCAGAAGGAUCAA
RNAcentral lists this ribosomal RNA (1796 nucleotides) under Dictyostelium mucoroides. Its description in RNAcentral is "SSU rRNA". It matches the Rfam family "Eukaryotic small subunit ribosomal RNA". Lineage: Eukaryota; Evosea; Eumycetozoa; Dictyosteliales; Dictyosteliaceae. The record is from RNAcentral.